GGCUGUGGCUCAGUGGUUGAACACUUGCCUCGCAUGCGUGAGGCACUGGGUUGGAUCCUCAGCACCA
Molecule: transfer RNA, 67 nt
Filed under: Marmota monax (woodchuck)
Lineage: Eukaryota; Metazoa; Chordata; Mammalia; Rodentia; Sciuridae
Description: tRNA.Ala
Source: RNAcentral